AUCUUGAAGCAUAGGGACCUUAACCCAGGGCAUUAAAUGACCUGUAACACGAGAAGCAUAGGCAUCGGCAUCUAAGAAUUCGAAUUUGUAACCAUGGCGUUCAGCAUAUUCACGACGAUUUUUGAUAAUGGACUGAGCGAAAGGAUGGAGAGGAGAGUUAGCAUCAUUUUGAAAGUUAGAGCCCAUCAAAAUGACGAUUUUAGAGUUAUCCGGAUGAGGAUCAGUGGUAGCUAAAGCAUGAACUACAGAAGUGACAGUUGGAGU
Molecule: non-coding RNA, 264 nt
Organism: Schizosaccharomyces pombe (fission yeast)
Lineage: Eukaryota; Fungi; Ascomycota; Schizosaccharomycetes; Schizosaccharomycetales; Schizosaccharomycetaceae
Source: the annotation of a GenBank genome assembly